UCUAAGGCCAUCUCCAACCCAGCAUCAAAUUUUGCAUCAUUUUGCACCAAAUUUUGCAUCAAAUCUUGCACCAAACUAAAAUUCAUCUCCAACCAUUACACCAAAAAUUACACCAAAUGAACAGUGUUUUACCAUUUUCUUCCUUUUUUUAUUCUUUAUAAUUUAUUUAUUCGAAAUAUUAUUUAUUUAAUUAUUUCAUAAAUACAUAAAUUAAUAAAUAAAUAAUUACGUUAAAUUACGAAAAAUAUUAAAUUUAUUAAUAAAUAUAAAAAAUAUAGAACAAUUAAUAAAAAUACUACAACAACGAAAAUAUGAAAUCAUACUAUCAGAAAAUAGUACAAUGCAUUUCGAAUUUGAAUAGACGAUAUUACGAAGUAGCUAAAUUUUUACAAUUUAAUUCUUAGAAUUCAUAUGUUUAUCCCACAAAUGAUCGAUUAAUGCAUUUCGAUUAAUGCACUUUUAAUGUAUCCUUUUUUUAAAAAUAAAAUUAGAUUAUCGUAUGUAUGUCGCUAUUUAAUAUAUUUCAUAUUAAUUUUAAUAAAUAAUCGUGUUUGAUGUAUUUUAAAUUGUUUUCAUUUUUUAAUUAAUUUAUUAAUUAUUAUGUCUUACAUUUAAAAUUAUUUUAAAUACAAAUACAAAUAAUAUUAAUAUUAAUAUUAAUAAAAAAAAUAAUAAUUUAUUGUAUUAAAAAAUAUAUAGCACAAAUGACAUAAAUACCCUCAACAAAUUUAUUUGAAAAAUGUUAAAUAAGGGCAAAAGGGACUUUUACACUUUGCACCAUUUUGCACCAAAAUGGUGCAAAGUUUGGUGUUGGGUUGGAACAAUUUUGCACCAAAAAAUGGUGCAAAAUGGUGCAAUGGUGUUGUGGUUGGAGAUGCUCUAAGUUCUCUCUCUUGAGCCCCCAUAGAAUCCCUUUCUUCCACCUAUCUCUGUCGCUUGCGAGCACCGAAAAUUUCUGCAGAUUGACGUGGUAAUCUUGAAUUUAAAGAUUACAUAUUUAUUUGUGCUUAAUUUGAUAUCUCUAUUUCAUUUUAUUGGUUUGAUUUUGGUGGUUCAUGUGACCCGUUCUCUGCAAUUCGUUUUUCUCGUCCCUAAUCUACCUCUCAUUGGUUCUUGUUCAUUUUCUGCCUUCAUCCUGCGAAGUCUACUGGUUUCGGAGCUCAAAAUUCAAACUCGGGAUACUGCUUCAAAGAUGAUGGCAUGUACAAAGUUUGAGGGUAAACGAUUUGGCGAGAAAAAUAAUUUAAAUAUUUUGUGAAGUACAGUUGAAGUUGUUCUCUUGCAAUAGGGACUUUACAAAGAUUUGUAAGGUAAGAUGUCACAAGGCAUGAAGAAGCGGAGUUGGAAGAAUUGAAACUGGAGACAGUCAACACCAUUAGAUUGGCUUGUACUUAGGUAAGAAUAAUGUUGAACAAAUAGGGAAUAAAAAAAUAGACUGAUGUGGCAGCUAAUAAUUGAGUAUUUUUAUGAUUUUUUUUUUCCCCUUUCUUCAGUGAAAAAUUGUCAAGUGUAAUUUGGAAAUACUUUUCAGUCAUUGACUUUGACCACGUAGCAUGAUUGCUUAGGUAAAUUAUAG
This 1576-nucleotide long non-coding RNA is filed under the name Olea europaea subsp. europaea. Lineage: Eukaryota; Viridiplantae; Streptophyta; Magnoliopsida; Lamiales; Oleaceae. The record is from RNAcentral.